RNAcentral lists this ribosomal RNA (436 nucleotides) under Capnocytophaga sputigena. RNAcentral's name for it is "bacterial SSU rRNA". It matches the Rfam family "Bacterial small subunit ribosomal RNA", at positions 28 to 470 of the family's 1533-position model. Lineage: Bacteria; Pseudomonadati; Bacteroidota; Flavobacteriia; Flavobacteriales; Flavobacteriaceae. The record is from RNAcentral.
GAUGAACGCUAGCGGCAGGCCUAACACAUGCAAGUCGAGGGAGAAGCCUUCGGGCUGAAACCGGCGCACGGGUGCGUAACGCGUAUACAAUCUGCCUUUCACAUAGGGAUAGCCCGAAGAAAUUUGGAUUAAUACCUAAUGGUAUAUAGGAGCGGCAUCGUUUUUAUAUUAAAGCUACGGUGGUGAAAGAUGAGUAUGCGUUCUAUUAGCUAGUUGGAGAGGUAACGGCUCCCCAAGGCGACGAUAGAUAGGGGUUCUGAGAGGGAUGUCCCCCACACUGGUACUGAGAUACGGACCAGACUCCUACGGGAGGCAGCAGUGAGGAAUAUUGGACAAUGGUCGGAAGACUGAUCCAGCCAUGCCGCGUGCAGGAUGAAGGUCCUAUGGAUUGUAAACUGCUUUUGUAAGGGAAGAAUAAGGAGUACGUGUACUUGAU